CCCAGUGUAGCAUUAGGGACAGAUGGAGACCCACGGUGGCUCAGCCCCGCUCUUCCCAAGGGUCAGAGCUCUCUGGGGACUACAUGUACAUCCCUGACUAUCCCAGUGCUAGGCUGGGGUCUCUGGACAGCUGCCUCAACUAUGUGGACCUGGACCUAGUCCCUCCCCUGGAGGUUCCUGGAGCGGCCCCAGGGAAUAGUCCACAUAGCUAUGCCAGCAUCAAGUUCUAGAACUUUCAGAAGAUAGGGGAGGAGAACCAAGCAUUGGUUAGGGAAGAGAGGAAAAGAAGAGAAAACCUUAGCACUGUUCAGCUCAGCUUCUGCACAUAGGAGCCAGGGACUCUGAGGCCUUGUGAGGUGCUAUGCUGCCCCCUUGCCUGCUCUGUCUCUUCCAGCUGUACCGCCUCAGAAACACCUCAGGAAGAAGUGCUCCAAAGAAAUUAGACUCUUAAGAGAAAGUACUAGAACAUCUCUCUGCACCCCCACCCCAAACCCAAACAACAAACAAAUAAAACACCUACAGAACCAGUCUCGGGCGAGCUGUGGCUGAAGCAUGGAUGAAUUCUCACCCUGGUUUGGGACAGCUCAGUCCCCUCACAUGUUGGCAGCUAGAUGCCAUUGUGUCUUCUCAGCCAAAGAAGUAUCCUAACCCGGUGUUUGCAAGGCAAAGCGUAAGUCCUAAGGCUCAGAAACAAUGGGGGUGAGGGGAGCAUCAGGGACCAUGUUGGUGGCCCCCAAGCAGCCUGUCCUCCCCUGAGUCAUCCUGCUAGGGUCUGAGUCAGGCUCACCUGAGCCUUCUCUGGGCCUGGGAGACCAGAUCAAUUUCCUUACUUCCCCUGCUGUGGACCCAACCCACCCAUUAAAGGUGCCCUGCUCCCUGA
RNAcentral lists this long non-coding RNA (880 nucleotides) under Rattus norvegicus (Norway rat). Its description in RNAcentral is "long non-coding RNA NONRATT007368". The record is from RNAcentral. Lineage: Eukaryota; Metazoa; Chordata; Mammalia; Rodentia; Muridae.